Molecule: long non-coding RNA, 1074 nt
Filed under: Sus scrofa (pig)
Lineage: Eukaryota; Metazoa; Chordata; Mammalia; Artiodactyla; Suidae
Description: lncRNA (ENSSSCG00000048190.2, ENSSSCG00130036482.1)
Source: RNAcentral
CCCCGUUGCCGUCAGCCCCAGCUAGAGGUGACCAUAUAGAAACGAAGGGGUGAACUUGGAGUAGGUAGAAAGAAGGCUGCAUCCUGGUAUUCAGUGUGUACUCGUGCUCGAAUGCUCCGGGAAGACGGAGAGGAUACAAUGGGGAUGGACCCAGCGGCUCCAUGAGAGCCUCCUCCGGGAACUGUGGUUAACGCCCUCCGCAGUGUACGUGAACCCUCAGUAUUGGAACACGAUGGAUUAUUCCAGAACGACCGCCUCCUACCCUCUAAUGGUACCUUCCGAGUGAAUGGUCUUACCUCCGGCCCUGUCAGUGGGAAGGUGAGAGUUCCAUUCCAUACAUCAGGAGUCAAGCAGGGUGUUUGAUCCAGAGACACAGAAACAUAUCCUGACGCUCUGCCUGUUGGAUCCUAUGUAUUUAUCUCAUAGACAAGUGCCUUUUUGGAGAACUCUUUUUUCCCCCUGCAAAGGGGGGAGAGGAGGGAAGGGAGCUUGGGUCCAGCUGUCCUCUCUUACCUUCUUUUGCAAGCCCUUCUUUCCUCAUCGCUGUUCCUCUGCCAUCUCCAGCGACCUCACCAGAACAAUCCUUUCUCCAGAGGGCCUUAAAAGGACAUUGGUUGGAGGCUAAGGGCAAAUCAAGAACAGCAGGAGCCCAGGUCAACAUCUCUGUGUUCAAGAGAAAGUCGGAGAUCCUUAGCCUGGCAUUCAGUGUGUAGCUCAUGCUGGAAGAGCAUCCCUCAUCCAGGCCACAAUAAAUUGCUUCUACCAUGCUCCGAUUUCACCUUGCCUUCUGGGACCCUCAACCCUUUGUACAAGCUGUUUCACUUGCCUAGGCGCUAUUUUUUAUUUCAUCAAAAUGUGCAUGGCUGUAAUUUUAUGCCUUGGCUUUAUUAUGAACACUUUACAAAUAUUACCUCAUUUAUCUUCCCAACUCUAUGUUGUAAGCACUAUUAUUACCUCAUUUAAUAGCUAAGGACCUUAAGGAGUUCCCUGGUGACCUAGUGGUUAAGGAUUCGAUGUUGUCACUCUGUGGCUCGGGUUUGAUCCCUGAUGUGGGAACUUCCUCAUGCCAUAGGC